Molecule: unclassified non-coding RNA, 3010 nt
Filed under: Hevea brasiliensis (rubber tree)
Lineage: Eukaryota; Viridiplantae; Streptophyta; Magnoliopsida; Malpighiales; Euphorbiaceae
Source: RNAcentral
AAAUUCCUGGAUCUUGGACUGCAAUUAAGAAAAAUAAAAAUUCUUUAAAUUUUGCCUCUAUGAACUGAUGAAAGUCAAUAACAGAGAUUAUAUAAUUUUUAUGACGAAAUGUUUCAUAUCAGUAAUUAUGAAAUCAACACCAAAAGAAUUUAUUCCAACUAUGCAAAGGAAAUAUGAUAUUAUCAUGCAAUUAUAUCAACCAACCAUAAAUCUUAUGCCCACAAACAUUUGAAAAGACAUAUUGCUGGUAGCGGCAAACAUAGAGGUAAGUGUUUUGCAAUUUAUGCAUGGUAUGCAAUUAACUUGUAAGUAUUUCUGGAAAAAAUUAUAGCUUAAAGGCAGAUAUUAUUGGGAAAAUAAAAAUUGGGCACCAAUAAUGAAAAACUCAUUCAAACUGCACAUGGGAACCAUAAUUACUAUGAGAGUUCCACUGCCAGAUAAUUAUCUAUAUUCAUACAGAAGAAAUCCAUGAAUUUUUUGUCUGCAAGAUUUGAUGAGAUGAUCAUUUGGUUUGAAGAUAAAGUGAUUUAUGCUAAACAGGCUCUUUUAGUUGAAAAAAUAGAAUAAAAAAUAUCGAAGAAGAGUUCCAGCAUAUGCAGGUUUGAUAUAAAAUAAAUUAAUCAUAAAUCAGCUUCAAAAGGGUUACUGAUGAAAAUUUCAACAAAACCAUCAAUGUUAGAGAUCAGCUACUAAAAGCUAAUGAAUAAAAUUUGAAAUUAUCCAUGAUAGCAUGAUCUCUGUUGGAAUAUCACUUUUGGGAACAAGUCCCACAUCGUAGUGGACUAGAAAAUUAAAGGGCAAACAAGUGUUGGCAAACAAAACCAAAAUGGCUUAGGUCAUUUUGGUGAUGGGGAGCCCAAUCUCAAGCCCAAUUCAACUUGUAAUAUGCCAGUUUGAUAUUCAUACUCUUAGGUCCAUAAUGCUCAAUAGUUGGCAACCAAAUAGAUUUUUUUUUUAAUUAAUUUAUUUUUUUAUAUGUGGUCAUAUCAUCUAGGUUUCUGAAAGUCAAUAGCUUCUUUAAUUCUUUUCUACAAUUGCAAGCUAUUGAAGUCAGUUUCAUAUAGCAUGAGGAACUGUUCACGAGUAAGGAGAAUUCAUAUGAAUUCUUUUAUACUGUUUUUCUCUAUCUGGCGCAUGUUUUCCGAGUCAUAUUUCAUGUUUCUCAUGAUUUGGGCGUGUUCUAUUAGUUUAACAGGUAGUUACGAAUUUUCCUACAUUUUAAAACCAUGUUUCAACAUUAUUCAUCUAUUGUGAUUUUGCAGCAAUACGCUAUCUGCCUCAAUCUCAAGAAUGAUUAAUCAAAUUAAGACUUUUCAUUGUUCUCACUUUUCAUGCGUUUGGUUCUUCUUUGGCAUCCCUGUUUCUGAAUAUCUCUUUGUGGGUGUAAGAAUAGAAAUUUGCUGUAGUGAUCGAUUGUAUACAUUCCUUGUGGAUUAGAAUAUGGGUUGUUUGAGGAACUUUUAAGGUUGGUAAUUAGAGACUUUUACCAUUUAUUUUCUUGUGUUUGAAAUGUAUUGUGGUCAUGGAUCUGCAAAGAAACCACUAUGUUAGAUGGAGAAUUAUCAUGGAGGAAAAAUUUUUAUGUAAACUUAUUCUUGUGCCUUUCUUAAGGAAAGUCUUAGGGGAGGAAAAGUAAACUUCCCAUAAAUGUAGAAGCAGUGCACUGCUACGAAGGUUGCUCGUUUGUUUGGGAAAUUGUGCUGGAGAAUACAGUGGCCAUGGAGAACCUUAAAAUUAAGAUGAAUUAUUAUGGCUGAUAGAUGUUUAUCAUUGGAUGAGGUUACGCUAGUGCAGCUCCUUUUUUGAGGUGUGUUUCGGCUCACAGCAUUAGGACACCUUUGGGAUGGAAUAGUCUCUCUUGGUUUUUGGCUAAUACAUAUUAGAAAGGUUGCUUGAUACUUUAACUUUUGGUUUAGUGGGUAGUAGACUAGUAGUUUGAGGAUAUACGUAGUAUAAUGUAGAAACCCUAGGUGGUUGCACCCAAAAUAAUUUAAUUCAACCAAAAACCAAAUAUACCUUAGAGGCAACCUUAUAUAGAGAAAUUAACUAGAAAAUUACUAAAUUACCUUACAAAAAUACAAGAUUAUUUAUUAAUUUGCAUAUUAUUAGAAUGGCUACAAGAAGCAUAAUAUCUGCAAAUAGAUCCUUGCCAAUAUAGACCUGGGUCAUUAGGACUUGGGUUAUGCUUAUAGAGAGGAGUACAUGCUACAUAACAGUGUGUUCAGCUGCUGCAGCCUACUGCCUUUCUUCAUUCUUUGGCCUGUGCUCUCUCCUCCUGUCCAGUAAGUGAUUUCCCUCUUGUACAUGUAUUGGCAACCUCUUGAUACCCUUUAAUGCUUUUGUUUCUAUGCUUCUUCCCAACUCAGAAAGGCAAAAAAAGUUUACAAUGCAUUCUUAUCACUAGGAUAAUUUUUCAUCAAAAUUUUUCAAAAGUUUGUUAUAGGGAUUUGAUUGUUCACAUAAUGUACCUAGGUACAAAAUAAAUCUCACCACUGCCAGUUUUCAGGCACUUUUUUGCGGGCUUGUCAUAUAAAAAUAUUUGAUGGACAAGUGGAAGGAGCUAUAUAUGGUUUUUAAAGUUAAUAUAUCUGCAUUUAAUCAAAAUCACCAUGUGCUUUUCACCACCUCUAAACAUAUAAGUUUUUAAUUUACUAGUCAUUUUUUCGCUUUAUGCAUUGUAUGGAUCCUGUGCUAGUUGUUAAAACUGUUAAGUUUAUUGAAUUUGGCCUUGUACACCUGGUGCUAGUAGAAUAUCAUAGAAGGGUAAGAUCAAUACCAUAGUCAUAUGCAUGGUCUAUUUAUGUGUUUAUAUGCUGAGGAUGUUUCCCCAUUGACAGAGAAUUGUGAAUAUUAACAUUUUACUAUUGAAAUAUAGUCUGUCUAUUCAACAAGCUAAUUAACCUCUAAGCUAUAACAUUUAUAUUAAUAUUGUAUGUUAAAAUAUUAGGUUUUAAUUUGUACAUGUUAUAUUAUGUAGUUUGUCUCACAAUUACAUCAUCUAUAUUGGUAU